UUUUUUCCUUACAAUAAUUUUAUUCCAAUUAUUUCCAGGACAUGGUCUAGGACCAUGAUGACAGUUUGGAAGGUGAUUUGAACAUGUUUGAUUUCUCCCAAGUGAAGUAAAUUUUACAAUAUUGGCAGGCUUCAAGAAAAGAUUUUUACCCUUAUACCUUACUCAGAUCUUCUCUGUGACCUAUGAAGAAUAUUGUUGGCACUCAAAGACUACUGAUCUGUACACAAUUAGCCUGUGGCCUCAUUAAUUUCUUAAAUCGCUUGGGAUUUCUAUCAUUUGGCUGUGGGAAGGAG
This 293-nucleotide long non-coding RNA is filed under the name Felis catus (domestic cat). RNAcentral describes it as "lncRNA (ENSFCAG00000043851.2)". The record is from RNAcentral. Lineage: Eukaryota; Metazoa; Chordata; Mammalia; Carnivora; Felidae.